RNAcentral lists this ribosomal RNA (263 nucleotides) under uncultured bacterium. RNAcentral's name for it is "partial 16S ribosomal RNA". It matches the Rfam family "Bacterial small subunit ribosomal RNA", at positions 793 to 1055 of the family's 1533-position model. The record is from RNAcentral.
GUCCACGCCCUAAACGAUGUCGACUGGUUGUUGGGGUUUGACACUCUCAGUAACGAAGCUAACGCGUGAAGUCGACCGCCUGGGGAGUACGGCCGCAAGGUUAAAACUCAAAGGAAUUGACGGGGACCCGCACAAGCGGUGGAUUAUGUGGAUUAAUUCGAUGCAACGCGAAAACCUUACCUACCCUUGACAUGUCCUGGAGGCUCCAGAAAUGGGGCUGUGCCCGAAAGGGAACGGGAACACAGGUGCUGCAUGGCUGUCGU